CUUGCUCUCAGGAGGCUGGUAGUGAUGUGUUCACCUUACUGAGAGGUAGAUCUCAGGCAGGAUCCUGGUGGCAGUGGCUCAUAGCUGAUGGUGACUGAGGAAUAAUUGACAUUCUGUGAUGCAGAAGAGCAAGGAGGAAAGAGUGAAGUGCAAAUCUGAGAAACGGGAGGGCAGCAUACCCAGAAGGGCAGAGGCACCCUGAUUUGAAAAUGUCAGUUUGCAGUACACUGGGCAAACUCAUAUGCUGCAAAGGUGAAGAUGUAUUAAGGUAGAUUGUGGGCCAGACAGAGUUUGGUGAUUAAGUGUUGCCACACGAGGAAGCCAGAAUGCAGAAGAUAGCAGUCCCAGCAAACACACCUUCUGCCUAAAAGCAGUAAAAUGUCUGUCACUGAGACCUGGGAGGAAAAAAAACAAUUAUAUGAGUGGAAACCUUGCAUUCCUGAGGCUGUUUCUUAUCUCUUCUGUAUUUUCUCCUGUGUGAUCUUAUGGCUGUAAAAUUCAGAGACGCUUAUUUUCUGUCUAAAAAUGAUUUCAGCAUUGACUGUGCUCAGAAU
Molecule: long non-coding RNA, 554 nt
Organism: Cygnus atratus (black swan)
Lineage: Eukaryota; Metazoa; Chordata; Aves; Anseriformes; Anatidae
Exons: 3
Source: RefSeq, a predicted model, not a curated record